Cryptosporidium muris RN66 is the source of this 162-nucleotide small nuclear RNA. It matches the Rfam family "U1 spliceosomal RNA". From Rfam's summary of the family: U1 is a small nuclear RNA (snRNA) component of the spliceosome (involved in pre-mRNA splicing). Its 5' end forms complementary base pairs with the 5' splice junction, thus defining the 5' donor site of an intron. NCBI's taxonomy places the organism in Eukaryota, Apicomplexa, Conoidasida, Eucoccidiorida, Cryptosporidiidae. The record is from Rfam.
AAACUUACCUGGCCGGCGUUCGGGGUCGCUCAUGAAUGGCCCUGUCGUAAUCCUGAGCAGGGCACUGCACUCCGCCGUCUGUGAAGGGUUAUGGACUGGUAUUAUACCGGAUCCAACGGCAAAAUUUCUGUCAGCGGCGGCUACUUAUUGAGUAGCUGCCAA